Molecule: transfer RNA, 74 nt
Filed under: Chloroflexota bacterium
Lineage: Bacteria; Bacillati; Chloroflexota
Description: Chloroflexi bacterium tRNA-Gln
Rfam family: tRNA
About the family: Transfer RNA (tRNA) molecules are approximately 80 nucleotides in length.
Source: RNAcentral
AGAGCGGUGGUGUAAUGGCAACACCUCAGACUUUGACUCUGAAGCCUCUGGUUCGAUUCCAGAUCGCUCUUCCA